RNAcentral lists this unclassified non-coding RNA (159 nucleotides) under Caenorhabditis briggsae. Its description in RNAcentral is "Cb81 C/D snoRNA". The stretch from base 2 to 123 matches the Rfam family "Small nucleolar RNA sn2417". Lineage: Eukaryota; Metazoa; Nematoda; Chromadorea; Rhabditida; Rhabditidae. The record is from RNAcentral.
AGAGGAGUUGAUGAGAACUCUAAUCCAUUCUCUGAGCGAGAAGGAUGGCCAAAGCGGGUUCGCAUUGAAGGCUUAAGGUAGACGAAAGAGUUCUUCUGACGACUACUGCCUUGCGCUGAAGCCAUGCCUUCGCGGGCUGAAUUUUGGGUCUGAUCCUCU